AGUCAUAUGCUUGUCUCAAAGAUUAAGCCAUGCAUGUCUAAGUAUAAACAAUUCUAUACUGUGAAACUGCGAAUGGCUCAUUAAAUCAGUCAUAAUUUACUUGAUAUUAUUUUACUACUUGGAUAACUGUGGUAAUUCUAGAGCUAAUAAACAAUCCCAACUUUUUGGAAGGGAUGUAUUUAUUAGAUACAAAACCAAUCUGUGGGGCAACCCGCAGUCUCUGGUGAUUCAUAAUAAAUUGACGAAUCGCAUGGCUUUAUGCCGGCGAUGAAUCAUUCAAAUUUCUGCCCUAUCAAAUUUUGAUGGUAGGAUAGAGGCCUACCAUGUUUUUAACGGGUAACGGGGAAUUAGGGUUUGAUUCCGGAGAGGGAGCCUGAGAAACGGCUACCACAUCCAAGGAAGGCAGCAGGCGCGCAAAUUACCCAAUCGCGACACGCGGAGGUAGUGACAAUAAAUAACAAUACAGGGCUUUUACAAGUCUUGUAAUUGGAAUGAGUACAAUUUAAAUCCCUUAACGAGGAACAAUUGGAGGGCAAGUCUGGUGCCAGCAGCCGCGGUAAUUCCAGCUCCAAUAGCGUAUAUUAAUGUUGUUGCAGUUAAAAAGCUCGUAGUCGAAUUUUGGACCUGGCUGGGCGGUCUUGCUGAAAGGUAAGCACUGCUCUGGUUGGGUCUUUCCUUCUGGGGAACCAGUGUGCUCUUAAUUGGGUGCGCUGGGGAUCCAGGACUUUUACUUUGAAAAAAUUAGAGUGUUUAAAGCAGGCUUACGCUUGAAUACAUUAGCAUGGAAUAAUGGAAUAGGACUUUGGUUCUAUUUUGUUGGUUUCUAGGACCAAAGUAAUGAUGAAUAGGGAUAGUUGGGGGCAUUAGUAUUGAGCUGUCAGAGGUGAAAUUCUUGGAUUUGCUCAAGACUAACAACUGCGAAAGCAUUUGCCAAGGAUGUUUUCAUUGAUCAAGAACGAAAGUUAGGGGAUCGAAGACGAUCAGAUACCGCCGUAGUCUUAACCAUAAACUAUGCCGACUAGGGAUUGGUGGAUGUUUUUCAUGUGGCCGCAUCAGCGUCUUCCGAGAAAUCAAAGAUUUUGGGUUCUGGGGGGAGUAUGGUCGCAAGGCUGAAACUUAAAGGAAUUGACGGAAGGGCACCACCAGGAUUGGAGCCUGCGGCUUAAUUUGACCCAACACGGGAAAACUUACCAGGUCCAGACAUAGUAAGGAUUGACAGAUUGAGAGCUCUUUCUUGAUUCUAUGCGUGGUGGUGCAUGGCCGUUCUUAGUUGGUGGAUUGAUUUGUCUGCUUAAUUGCGAUAACGAACGAGACCUUAACCUACUAAAUAGCUACGCGAACCCUAGGUUCGUGGCCAGCUUCUUAGAGGGACUAUAUAAGACAAUUAUAUGGAAGUUUGAGGCAAUAACAGGUCUGUGAUGCCCUUAGAUGUUCUGGGCCGCACGCGCGCUACACUGACGAAUUCAACAAGUUUUAACCUUGACCGAUAGGUCUGGGUAAUCUUUUAAAAGUUCGUCGUGCUGGGGAUUGACAAUUGCAAUUUUUUGUCAUGAACGAGGAAUUCCUAGUAAGCGCGAGUCAUCAGCUCGCGUUGAUUACGUCCCUGCCCUUUGUACACACCGCCCGUCGCUACUACCGAUUGAAUGGCUUAGUGAGUCCUCCGGAUUGGGCAUUCGAUACCGGCAACGGUGACGAUUGCCCGAGAAGCUGGGCAAACUUGGUCAUUUAGAGGAAGUAAAAGUCGUAACAAGGUAACCGUAGGUGAACCUGCGGUUGGAUCAUUA
Molecule: ribosomal RNA, 1784 nt
Filed under: uncultured eukaryote
Lineage: Eukaryota
Description: partial small subunit ribosomal RNA
Rfam family: Eukaryotic small subunit ribosomal RNA
Source: RNAcentral